RNAcentral lists this transfer RNA (86 nucleotides) under Methylobacterium hispanicum. RNAcentral describes it as "tRNA-Arg". The record is from RNAcentral. Lineage: Bacteria; Pseudomonadati; Pseudomonadota; Alphaproteobacteria; Hyphomicrobiales; Methylobacteriaceae.
AGGCGCUCUGGAUCGCGAAGAUCAGCGGCUGCGAGACGCUGGUGAGCGCGAGGCGCUUGUCGAGGUCCUCGGCCUCGAGCGCCUCC